Long non-coding RNA from Hypanus sabinus (Atlantic stingray), 3324 nucleotides. RefSeq lists it as uncharacterized. NCBI's taxonomy places the organism in Eukaryota, Metazoa, Chordata, Chondrichthyes, Myliobatiformes, Dasyatidae. The record is from RefSeq and is a predicted model, not a curated record. The transcript has 4 exons.
GCGGGAGGAGUGCCGUCCCUGUUGCUCAGAAACAACGCAGGCUUGUUUCCCCAUCUUUCAGACUAUUUCAGUUUGUGACCUGGGCGGGGAUCUCUGUUAUGGCUGCUGCUGAGUUUCAAACAAUAAUUCUUCAGCUCGCCCAAGGCUAUGAUGAUACAGGACAUGAUGAUGUGGAUGACGAGCUUGUGAAUUUGUGACUGAAGUCCUUCUGCACCAAGUUUAAGAAACAUACUAUAGAACCGUCUAAAGAAACUAGGCAAACGCGCGGUGUACAGCAAGUUGAUUUUCCACAUGAUCCGACAUUUCAUCAAAGCGCUUUGAUGCUGUUGAGUUGCUCGAGGGUGGCUUCGUAUGCGCUCUGAUUCAUGGCGGCAGAAACUACAGGCAGAAAGUUUCUGCAACCGAUGGCGCCACUUCAAUGGCAAAGGAACUGGGAGGAGGUUUGCACGACGCCCUUGGGCUGUAAUAGCGGCUGCCAACUUCAUCAAACCAGAAGCACUUCAAGAUCAUCUUCCCCCACAACGUAGUGGGGGGAAGGAAGGCCGCUAAUGACACCGUGUUCCAAGGGUUAUCAAAAGAUUUCCCGAGUCUGCAGUAUUUCGUUUUUGCUCCAGUGAUCCAGGGUUACCACUGACCCUUUGAGGGAGAACAUUCCAAAUUUCUUCCCCUCUUUCCAUGAUACAAUUUUUUCUCUGUUCCCUCGUGGUUUUUAGCAAUACCCACUUGUUCCAAGUCAGAGGAAAUCAUUUCCUUGUAUCUUUUCAUGAUCAGGAACACCUCAAUUGAAUAAUUUGUUCUUUAAAAAAUCCACACAAGAGAAUGAGAAGCAAGCUCAUUCAUUUGGCAAAGAUUUCAAUGCACAUAAAUCUCAAGGAAUACAGUCACUCGUGAUCAUGAUGGCCAGAGAUACUAAUCGAACUGGUUACCAUAUUGUGCACAUGAUACUCCUAAUUAGGUCUCCCCAAUGCCUUAUACAACUUUGCCAUAGACAGUCCCAAGCCCAGCUCGGAAAGGAGAAAGGUGUGCACGGGUUUAGCAACCCCAUCCCAAAGAACCCAGAGCGACGGAAACACCAAAGACCUCAUCCCCGAGAGAGGAAGGAUCUUCGACCAGAGGAAGUCAGGUGGUGAAAGCGGAAGCCAGAGGGCCAGUUAAUUUUCAGAGGACUGGGGAGCUCCUCUUGGAUGCCCAAGUAAAGGGGAGGUGGGAUUGGAAGAGUAAGAGUGGCUUAUACAACUUCAAUAUAACUCCUGUACUCAGUAGUUUGAUUUAUGAAGGACAACGUACUAAAAGCUCUCGUUAUCUGCCUGUGACAUUGAUUGGAUCUGUAUUCCCAGAUCCCUCUGUUUUCCCACAUUCCGCAGUGCCCAACCAUUCACUGUGUAACUCCUCCCCUGGUUUGUUCUCCAAAAGUGUUACGCCUCGCACUUGUCUGCACUUAAUUCCAGCCGCUGUUUUUCUGGCUGGUCCAGGUCUCUCUGCGAGCUUCGUUAGCCUUCCUCAUACGGUCCACUUAUGCCCCCCAAUCUUGGUGUCAUCCAUAAAUCUGCUGAUCCAGUUGAUCACAUCAUCAUCCAAAUCGUUGACAUAGAUGACAAGGAACAAUGGAUCCAGCACUGAUCCCUGCAGCACAUGAGAGCUUCCUGCCUCUAGAAGAACCAAGUGUUUAAAGGAUGCUUCCUGGGAUCAUUGGAGGAAGGGCCAAUUGCGUCACAAGAUGGAGGGGUUGGAGCGGAGCCCUCCUGUCAUCUUAGACCAGUUAACCAUGGUUGAGUAGGAAACAUUCUCACCUUGAAUUAGAUGAUGGUGUUCGCUCCACUGCUCUGAACUGAGUGUCCAGAUGGAGCGGAAGGAAGCCCCACUUGCUUUAAGAUGAGAUAUUAAACUCUGGUACCAUCUGCCCUGUCAGGCUGGUGCAAGUUAAUCCGAGAGACUAAAGGAUAGAGGGAAUGAGUUCUCUCUGGUGAUUGGGCCCAGCCAACAUCAACAAAAUAGAUCACAUUGCUGUUUGGGGUAGCCGGCAGAGUCACUACCCCAUAGGGGUUAAUCCUGACCUCAGGUACCCUUUAGAGCGGUGUGUGUACCUUCACGCCAAUGGGCACACUGCUUUCCUGCCACAUCCUAAAGGUGACGGGUGGGUAGGUUAAUUGGCCACUAUAAACUGUCCUAGUGUGUGGGUGAGCGGGUACAAUCUGGGGGGAGUUGAAUUAAAAUAAUGGGAUUUGUGUAAAUGGGUGGUGGAUAUUAGCGUAGACUUGAUGGGCUGAAUGGCCUCUUUCUCACUCUCAGAAUCUAUGAGCAGGUUUGCUGCUGAGAGCUUUGUGAUGCCCUGAGUUUGUUCAGUUGAAUUCACUUCAUUACUUACAUGUGAAAUACCUUAUAGAAAUGUUUUCAUUCCAUCAAUGCUAACUUCCUCAACCUGUGUUCCUGUCCCAGACCCGUGCUCACAGUUUCCUUUAAAAUUCUUGGGUCACACACGUCUGAGCAAUUGCUGUUGUGAUCAGGAGCUUUGGCUGAAGUGUAAGUGUGAUACCUGUUCUGCUCAUCCCUGUAACAUGCUUGGUGUUUAUUUCAUCUGUCGUGACUCUUACUUAAGGCAACAGCUGAUGUUUUCAGUAUUGAGUAGUUUGCAGUGACUAGCCUGCAGAAACAAUGAUCUGUCCACGUUUGGGGAGCCUUCAGUUCCCCCUGGAGCCAGGAGGUGGAGCCGCCACUUUGCAGUAAGCCGUGCGGGACAACGUCGGACAAAGCAGCAGGUGAAAUCCGGGACCUUCCACCACACACGGCAUCGUGGCACACUGUGCAGCAAACUUACCCCCUAUGAACGGAGGCUUCCCUCGAGAGUUAAUUUUAUGACCUCAGAUCAAUAGUGGAGGUAGAUUUCAGAAUUACACUGCCCUCACUGAGUAUAUUUAAAGUUGAUGGGUUUUUGAUGAUUGAGGAUGUCAAAGGCAAGAGGCUGGAGUUGGGAGGGAUAAUAAAUCAGCCAUUAUGGAAUGGUAGAAUGUAUUCGAUGGGCUGAAUGCGUUGUGAUCUAUUGGUUACUGUCACAUAUUUCGUCUUCAUUUGCAUCAUGACUUGUAAACCGAAUCCUGUUGGUCCAUCACCGUUUACUCACUAACCUACUGAUUAAAUACUACUCAGCCUCAUUUGCAGAUCUCAAUUGCUUUGACUCAACCUUGCUAAUCUUCUGCAAUCCCACAACUCUACAAUGUUAUCUCGGCUCUAUCCUUAAGCAACAUCCACAAAAUGCUGGAGGAACUCAGCAGGUCAGGCAACAGCUACAGAGGAAAAUUAACAGCUGAUGCUUUGGGCUGAAACCCU